This 356-nucleotide long non-coding RNA is filed under the name Ananas comosus (pineapple). RNAcentral's name for it is "long non-coding RNA (ACOM_LNC043889)". The record is from RNAcentral. Lineage: Eukaryota; Viridiplantae; Streptophyta; Magnoliopsida; Poales; Bromeliaceae.
GAUUUUGAUUCAAAACUUAUUUAAGGAUCAAAUUGGUGAUGUUAUAAUCAGGGUUUCUCCUCAUAUUAUAUGUGCUUUCUAAGAUCUUAAAUCACCACAAAUUGUUAAAUCCCUACGAGCUUCGGAUGGAGCGUUAGCGCGUGGAUUUCGCGUGGAGGCCGUGGAUUCGGUGGGCGUUUCGUGGAAUCGAGGUGUGUUUGCUGCAAGGACUUGCGGUGUGGUCGGUUGGAGGAUUCCAAGCGAUCGAGGAUCGGCGAAGACAAUCUACAAUAAGGAUUCGGUAAAUUGAGUCGUGUAUUUUUGUUAAAUCACUUGUACUCAAGUUUUCUUAGUGGAUUUCUUUGUGUGGUCGGUCC